GACGAACGCUGGCGGCGUGCUUAACACAUGCAAGUCGAACGAAGUGGCGAACGGGUGAGUAACGCGUAUUCAACCUGCCCUUCAGAGGGGGACAACAGUGGGAAACGACUGCUAAUACCGCAUACUGAAGGAGGGGAUUGCGUCUGAUUAGCUAGUUGGAGGGGUAACGGCCCACCAAGGCGAUGAUCAGUAGCCGGGCUGGGGAGAUGGACGGGCACAUUGGGACCGGGGAACGGCCCAGACUUCUACGGGGAGGCGCAGUGGGGGAUCUUUCGAAAUGGACGAAAGUCUGACGGAGCAACGCCGGGGGAGUGAUGGCGGGCUUCGGGUUGUAAAGCUCUGUUAAUCGGGACGCGGUACCGGAAUAGAAAGCCACGGCUAACUACGUGCCAGCAGCCGCGGUAAUAC
Molecule: ribosomal RNA, 408 nt
Filed under: uncultured bacterium
Lineage: Bacteria
Description: partial 16S ribosomal RNA
Rfam family: Bacterial small subunit ribosomal RNA
Source: RNAcentral